This 282-nucleotide long non-coding RNA is filed under the name Phascolarctos cinereus (koala). RNAcentral's name for it is "lncRNA (ENSPCIG00000032785.1)". The record is from RNAcentral. Lineage: Eukaryota; Metazoa; Chordata; Mammalia; Diprotodontia; Phascolarctidae.
UAAUCCUAUGACUCACCCAAGGUCAUAUAGUUGGUAAUUAAUAGAAUCAGAGCUUGAACCUAGGUCUUUUGGCUUCAAGACCAGCCCUUUUUUCCACUCCUUCUAGACAAGUCCUUCCUGUUCUACUGAAGAUAUAAUAGUUGUAUUUGUAUUCUCUCUUUCUCCAGGUCAAGGCUUAUAAGGAAGGAAAACCACACCCCCCAAAAGACUGCAAUUCAAAGUCUGACACAGACAUGGAUUUUAGAUGUUUCCCAGGCUGUCUGUAUCCAGCAGGAGAGACCC